GAUGAAGAACGUAGCGAAAUGCGAUACUUGGUGUGAAUUGCAGAAUCCCGUGAACCAUCGAGUCUUUGAACGCAAGUUGCGCCCGAAGCCACUAGGCCGAGGGCACGCCUGCCUGGGCGUCACACGCCGUUGCUCCCCCAUCUACUCCUUCGGGAUUGCGGGGGGGCGGAUGAUGGCCUCCCGUGCGCCUAGCCGCGCGGUUGGCAUAAAUACCAAGUCCUCGGCGACGCACGCCACGACAAUCGGUGGUUGCGAAACCUCGGUUGCCCGUCGUGUGCGUUCGUCGCGCAUCGAGGGCUCGAAAAAAUGCUCGGCUCCGGCUGGGCUUUCAACGCGACCCCAGGUCAGGCGGGGUUACCCGCUGAACUUAAGCAUAUCAAUAAGCGGAGGA
RNAcentral lists this unclassified non-coding RNA (391 nucleotides) under soil metagenome. RNAcentral describes it as "partial contains 5.8S ribosomal RNA, internal transcribed spacer 2, and large subunit ribosomal RNA". The stretch from base 1 to 122 matches the Rfam family "5.8S ribosomal RNA", at positions 35 to 154 of the family's 154-position model. The record is from RNAcentral.